UUGUAUUUAUUAGAUAUCAAACCAAUAUUCCUUCGGGUCUAUUGUGAUGAUUCAUAGUAACUGGUCGGAGCGAGGCUAGGCCUUGCUAAAUCAUUCAAGUUUCUGCCCUAUCAGCUUUCGAUGGUAGUGUAUUGGACUACCAUGGCUAUAACGGGUAACGGAGAAUUAGGGUUCGAUUCCGGAGAGGGAGCCUGAGAAACGGCUACCACAUCUAAGGAAGGCAGCAGGCGCGUAAAUUACCCAAUCCUGACUCAGGGAGGUAGUGACAAGAAAUAACAACUCGGGGGCUAACGCCUUACGAGAUUGCAAUGGGUACAAUUUAAACCACUUAACGAGGAACAAUUGGAGGGCAAGUCUGGUGCCAGCAGCCGCGGUAAUUCCAGCUCCAAUAGCGUAUAUUAAAGUUGUUGCAGUUAAAAAGCUCGUAGUUGAACUUCUGGGAGUCGCGACGGCGGCAUUGUCGUAGUCUGCGGCUUUCAUCCGCUUGAGAACCACGUACGUCCUUGAGUGGUCGGCGUGGGAAUCAGGCCUUUUACUGUGAAAAAAUCAGAGUGUUCAAGGCAGGCAAGCGCCCUG
This 576-nucleotide ribosomal RNA is filed under the name uncultured eukaryote. RNAcentral's name for it is "bacterial SSU rRNA". It matches the Rfam family "Eukaryotic small subunit ribosomal RNA", at positions 201 to 797 of the family's 1831-position model. The record is from RNAcentral.